This 564-nucleotide ribosomal RNA is filed under the name Sistotrema brinkmannii. Its description in RNAcentral is "eukaryotic LSU rRNA". It matches the Rfam family "Eukaryotic large subunit ribosomal RNA", at positions 66 to 635 of the family's 3401-position model. Lineage: Eukaryota; Fungi; Basidiomycota; Agaricomycetes; Cantharellales; Hydnaceae. The record is from RNAcentral.
UAACAAGGAUUCCCCUAGUAACGGCGAGUGAAGCGGGAUGAGCUCAAAUUUAAAAUCUGGCAGUCUUUGAUUGUCCGAGUUGUAAUCUAGAGAAGCGUUUUCCGCGCUGGACUGUGUACAAGUUUCCUGGAUACGGAACAUCAUAGAGGGUGAGAAUCCCGUCCUUGACACAGACUCCCAGUGCUCUGCGAUGCGCUCUCGACGAGUCGAGUUGUUUGGGAUUGCAGCUCAAAAUGGGAGGUAAAUUCCUUCUAAAGCUAAAUAUUGGCGAGAGACCGAUAGCGAACAAGUACCGUGAGGGAAAGAUGAAAAGCACUUUGGAAAGAGAGUUAAACAGUACGUGAAAUUGUUAAAAGGGAAACGAUUGAAGUCAGUCGCGUUUGCUUGGACUCAGCCUUACUUCGGUAUGGUGCAUUUCCUUGCGAACGGGCCAGCGUCCAUGUUGUCCGUCGGAAAAGGUGCGUGGGAAUGUGGCUUCUUCGGGAGUGUUAUAGCCCAUGUUCGUAUACGGCGUGUGAUAUGGAGUGGUACAGCAUGCUUCGGCGGUGCUUGUGCUGGCAUAAU